UCCCCUACACAAAGGCUGAGAGGCCCCUGCCACACUGUGAGGCAGUAAAAGGGUUAAUGGGCUCAGGGGCCUCCCUCAGGUCCCAACUCCCUCAGCCAGCUCUGGCCUGACCAAGAGCACCAGACUGAGUGAGGGCUUGGCUCAUGUAACACCCGAGGAAGCUGCUCUCCGGAGAACCACCAGAUCUAAAUGCAAAGUGCAAGGCAACAUGCAGAGUUGGCCAAUACUGGAGCCCAGAAGAAACCCCACCAUUAGAGAAAGGCACUGGGAAGAGAAAGGAGGGAGGAGUGUAGGACUGGAAAUACCUGUCUGCACUGGCGAGCUCCCAAAUCUUGCCCAGGCGCCUCCCACCGUGUGCAGCUGAGGAAGGCUGUGCUCUGAGCGUGGGGUUGCCAAGUCAGCUCCCAAGGCAGCUCUGGCACCAACGACCCAGAGAAACAGGCCCAGAGGGGAGAAACGACGGAUAUCCUGACACGGGAGAUUGAAAGGGAGGAAUGAAAUAAAAGAUCACUUACUGGACCCAUGCAGGGUGCCAGACCCUGGA
This is a long non-coding RNA of Symphalangus syndactylus (siamang), 544 nucleotides long. RefSeq lists it as uncharacterized. Lineage: Eukaryota; Metazoa; Chordata; Mammalia; Primates; Hylobatidae. The record is from RefSeq and is a predicted model, not a curated record.